RNAcentral lists this ribosomal RNA (448 nucleotides) under uncultured bacterium. Its description in RNAcentral is "bacterial SSU rRNA". It matches the Rfam family "Bacterial small subunit ribosomal RNA", at positions 355 to 825 of the family's 1533-position model. The record is from RNAcentral.
UCGGGAAUUUUGGGCAAUGGGCGAAAGCCUGACCCAGCAACGCCGCGUGAAGGAUGAAGUAUUUCGGUAUGUAAACUUCGAAAGAAUAGGAAGAAUAAAUGACGGUACUAUUUAUAAGGUCCGGCUAACUACGUGCCAGCAGCCGCGGUAAUACGUAGGGACCAAGCGUUGUUCGGAUUUACUGGGCGUAAAGGGCGCGUAGGCGGCAAUUCAAGUCAUCUGUGAAAUCUCCGGGCUUAACUCGGAACGGUCAGAUGAUACUGCUUUGCUAGAGUGCAGAAGGGGCAAUCGGAAUUCUUGGUGUAGCGGUGAAAUGCGUAGAUAUCAAGAGGAACACCUGAGGUGAAGACGGGUUGCUGGGCUGGACACUGACGCUGAGGCGCGAAAGCCAGGGGAGCAAACGGGAUUAGAUACCCUAGUAGUCCCUGAGCGGGCUGGCAAGGCGCAU